This 1379-nucleotide ribosomal RNA is filed under the name uncultured organism. Its description in RNAcentral is "bacterial SSU rRNA". It matches the Rfam family "Bacterial small subunit ribosomal RNA". The record is from RNAcentral.
GCGGCAUGGCUAAGGCAUGCAAGUCGUACGCGAAACCGGCUUCGGCCGGGAGUAGAGUGGCGAACGGGCGAGGAAUGCGUUUCUAACGUGCCCCAAUGUCGAUGAUAGCUCGGGGAAACCCGGGGUAAUACUCGAUGACCCCCAUGGACCGCAUGGUUCGUGGGGCAAAUGCUUGCUGCCUUGGGAUCGGGAAACGCCCUAUCAGUGUUGUUGGUGAGGUAACGGCUCACCAAGCCUAAGACGGGUAGCGGGUGUGAGAGCAUGACCCGCCGCAUCGGGACUGAGACACUGCCCGGACUCCUACGGGAGGCUGCAGCAACGGAUAUUGGGCAAUGAGCGAAAGCUUGACCCAGCAAUGCCGCGUGCAUGAGGAAGCCCCUCGGGGUGUAAACUGCUGUCAGGGUUUAGGAAGUUCUGACCAAACCCAAAGGAAGUGGCCGGCUAACUUCGUGCCAGCAGCCGCGGUAAUACGAAGGGCCCAAGCGCUAAUCGGAAUCACUGGGCUUAAAGGGUGCGCAGGCGGAAUGGUCAGUGUCUUGUGAAAUCCCACGGCUCAACCGUGGAACUGCAGGGCAUACUGCCAUUCUUGAGGCCGGUAGAGGCCGCCGGAACUCUAGGUGUAGCGGUGAAAUGCGUAGAUAUCUAGAGGAACGCCAAAGACGAAGGUAGGCGGCUGGGCCGGUUCUGACGCUCAGGCACGAAAGCGUGGGGAGCAAACAGGAUUAGAUACCCUGGUAGUCCACGCCGUAAACGUUGUGCACUAGGUGCUGGAGGUUCUGACACCAUCAGCGCCGAAGCGAAAGUGAUUAGUGCACCGCCUGGGGAGUACGGUCGCAAGGCUAAAACUCAAAGGAAUUGACGGGGGCUCACACAAGCGGUGGAGCAUGUGGCUUAAUUCGAGGCAACGCGAAGAACCUUAUCCUGGGCUUGACAUGCAUGGAUUAACGCUGGGAAACCAGCGCCACACUCUUUGAGUGGAACAUGCACAGGUGCUGCAUGGCUGUCGUCAGCUCGUGCUGUGAAGUGUUGGGUUAAGUCCCUUAACGAGCGAAACCCCUGUCGCUAGUUUACCAUCAGGUAAUGCUGGGGACUCUAGCGAGACUGCCGGUGUCAAACCGGAGGAAGGCGGGGAUGACGUCAAGUCCUCAUGGCCUUUAUGCCCAGGGCUGCACACGUGCUACAAUGGCGCCGACAGAGCGAAGCAAAACCGCGAGGUAGAGCAAAUCGCAAAAAAGGUGCCCCAGUUCGGAUUGCAGUCUGCAACUCGACUGCAUGAAGCCGGAAUCGCUAGUAAUCGCGUAUCAGCAACGACGCGGUGAUACGUUCCUGAGCAUUGUACACACCGCCCGUCAAGUCAUGGAAGCCGGGAGUACCCGAAG